RNAcentral lists this long non-coding RNA (198 nucleotides) under Anolis carolinensis (green anole). RNAcentral's name for it is "lncRNA (ENSACAG00000034910.1)". Lineage: Eukaryota; Metazoa; Chordata; Lepidosauria; Squamata; Anolidae. The record is from RNAcentral.
UCAUCUCUGAUCUGGACCCACUGAAAAGCUGGAAAGUUUUAAGAGAGACUGCCACGGAAUUGUCUGGAACAUUACCAAGGUAAGCAAGCUGUUCUGCUAAAACCAAAUCUGUGUGUUGGCUUUGGGGAGCUGCUGAAGGGAAGUACAGCCUCUCCAGCUGAAGCACCCAAGACAGCCUGUCAGAGGUUUAAGAGAGGA